RNAcentral lists this small RNA (626 nucleotides) under Oryza sativa Japonica Group (Japanese rice). RNAcentral's name for it is "sRNA Os02g0674050". The record is from RNAcentral. Lineage: Eukaryota; Viridiplantae; Streptophyta; Magnoliopsida; Poales; Poaceae.
GGAUCGAGCGCAGAUCAGCCGCCGCAGCUUAAUUACCUGAUGCCAGUGGGCCGCAUCCAUGCAAGAAGAAUCCCAAUUGCUCGAUCCUCGCCAACGAUUUCUCGCUAUCAACACAAGGAGAAGAGAGAGAGGCAAGGAGGAUGAGGAGCUCCUGGAUGUCUCGAGUAGCUAGCUGCAGGCACGAGUCAAGGAGAGGAGGAAUGUCUUGUGGAUGGCCUCAAUUGAAUUGCUCUCCCUUUCUAUCUCUCUCUCUUCUCAUAUGUCAUGAGAUAGUGGGAUUCUUUUCCCAAUAUUUUUAUGUCUCUUGGAGAGGAGAGGAGAGAGGACGGAUGUGAGGGAGGAGGAACAGCAAGGGAAAUUGGUGCAGCAGCGUGCUGUGCUUGCCUCCGUUUUUGGUUGUAAAUUUUUUGUUCUGGCUGGCUGGUUGAGUGUGCCGCCACCUGCGUGCGUGGGCCGUUCGCAAAACCAGUCGGUGGGAGUAGUCAACCUAGCGAAGGAAGCCGCAGGCCCGCAGCCGCGCAGGCAGGGGGAGAGAGGCGCGCAGCCCUACGAAUGAUGGUCCGUGGGGCCGUGCACGUGCGUAGGACGACGCGCCACGUGCGAGCCAAACCAACCAGGGUGUUUUU